This is a long non-coding RNA of Colius striatus (speckled mousebird), 598 nucleotides long. RefSeq lists it as uncharacterized. The record is from RefSeq and is a predicted model, not a curated record. The transcript has 3 exons. Lineage: Eukaryota; Metazoa; Chordata; Aves; Coliiformes; Coliidae.
GCCCAGUUCUGCAGCAGAGAAGACAACAGUGAAAGGUCCUGAGGAAUGGGGUUCCUUGGGAGAAGGACGAGCUAAAGCCCCAGGGAAGCUGUUAGCUCCUGAGAAAGAGAAGGAAGAGGACUGGAAGAGGAAAGAUGAUGUGUCUGGCGAGUACGAGUCCUCGGUGGCCUCCACACCCAAGAGCCCAGUGGCGAGGAGGCGGUCUGUCAGGUUUUCCAGCGACACGAGCAGCCAAGUGAAAGCAGAGCUGCACCCCAAAGCUGCUCCUGCAGGCAGCAGGCGCACGGUGCGGGGCAGGGCGGCUGGAGCCGACUGGCUGGGCUGGAAGGAUGAGGAUUGGUGUGAGUGGGAGCCGCUGCCUGCAGCGAAGGGCAGCCCUGCCGUGAGCCGCCCCAGCCCUGCCCCGGCCGCACGGCCUGGCCCCGCCAGCCACGUCCCGGCUGCAGAGGAGGCGGCAGCUAAAGCGGCCCCGCUGGAGGAGGAGGACUGGCUGAUCGCUGCCUUGGCUCGCAAGAAAGCCCAAGCGCAGGCCAAGGCCCAGGAGAGGAAUGCCGAGGCCUCGGAGGCCCCAGGGGAAAGGCUGCAUCCCCGUCCUGCU